GGACUACUCGGGUAUCUAAUCCUGUUUGAUCCCCACGCUUUCGUGCCUCAGCGUCAAUCAUACCAUAGUAAGCUGCCUUCGCAAUUGGUGUUCUGUGACAUAUCUAUGCAUUUCACCGCUACUUGUCACAUUCCGCCUACCUCUAGUACAUUCAAGCCCAUCAGUAUCAAGGGCACUGCGAUAGUUGAGCUACCGUCUUUCACCCCUGACUUAACAGGCCGCCUACGCACCCUUUAAACCCAAUAAAUCCGGAUAACGCUCGGAUCCUCCGUAUUACCGCGGCGGCUGGCAC
RNAcentral lists this ribosomal RNA (292 nucleotides) under uncultured Bacteroidota bacterium. Its description in RNAcentral is "uncultured Bacteroidetes bacterium partial 16S ribosomal RNA". Lineage: Bacteria; Pseudomonadati; Bacteroidota. The record is from RNAcentral.